GUCUUUCUAGUACUAAUUAGUACACGUGACUUCCAAUCACGUAGUCUUGGUUAAACCCCAAGGAAGGACU
RNAcentral lists this transfer RNA (70 nucleotides) under Trichonotus filamentosus. RNAcentral describes it as "tRNA-Gly". It matches the Rfam family "tRNA". From Rfam's summary of the family: Transfer RNA (tRNA) molecules are approximately 80 nucleotides in length. Their secondary structure includes four short double-helical elements and three loops (D, anti-codon, and T loops). The record is from RNAcentral. Lineage: Eukaryota; Metazoa; Chordata; Actinopteri; Gobiiformes; Trichonotidae.